CCGACCGGGACCGGACCGGACAUAACAGCGGUUUCCAACUACGGUCUUAAGCCUGAGGCUUAAAGGUAACACGCUGACAGCAAAAUCAGCGCACAAAAGCACUUUAAUAAGUCAUGUGAUCUCAGUUGGUGGUGUCCUGAGUUGAUGUCACUGAGGUACGACUCGCAUUUACUGGGGAAUAUCCGAUCUGUCUGCUUACAUGGCACACGCAAAUGCACGUAUCCGAUUCGUAUCCGAUUUAUUUCCACAUAUGAGAGAGGCCUGUAUCCGAUCUGAGAAAAAACAGAGUCCAUGCGCUUUUGUCCUGCUUACACGUUCACCGAUCAUAUCUGAUCUGUGCCAGGUGAGAGGAAAAGAUCGGAAUUGGGUCACUUGAACCAUGCAGUGUGAAGGCGGCCUAUAAUUCCACUUCAGCGGCUCCACCUGCUGCCCGCCCACCUGUGCUGCCCCGCCCACCUGUGCUGCCCCGCCUCCUACCAGGUGGACUCUUCCUGGUUGUGGGUCAGUGAUCUGUGCUGCAGCUGCGUUGACACGAUCUUCUUCUUUCUCUGCAAACUCUCAUCACUCUGCUGUUUCCAAAGCUUCAUCAUUGUUGGAUCAACAACAUGGAGGACUCUUCUUCAUCAAGUCAAUAACUAUCAGCUGAUGCUUGUUGUUUUUUUUCUAAACAUUUCCUGGAAUCAAACUGUGGUCUUCAGCAGUAGCGGUUUGAGGCAAUACAGGCGGUGGCCCGGGGUGCGAAAUGAAGGGGGGCGGCGCCGGAGGCUCAGCCCUUGUAAAAUAAUUUAUGCACCACUAUUGGUUUACGUAUGUCACAGAGUUUGUAACAGCCUGUAAGCUGGCAAUGCCCCCGUCCCGCAGCUGCACUCUCUCUCCUGUCUUUGAGAAGUAGACGCAAAUGUGUAUGAAGAAGGAGAAGGGAGGGGGCGCGGGGUGAAGGGUGCUGGCUGAGAGGUGAGCACGGAGCACCCCCACGUUUCCGCAUGCUCAAAACUGAGCUGGAUCGUCUUCAAGAGGGUGACGGUUGCGUGCUAGAUGAAAAAAUAAAAAUUCCGACAGCACCGCCAUGUAGCGAAUUGGCGCCACUAGGUGCAGCUGCACACGCUCCUGCUGGAAAUGUAUGAAGAAGGGAGGGGGGGGGGGCUGUGGGGAAUCAGUUCAACUGUGGGUCGCUUCCAAACGAGGUGGCCAGGUGGGGGGGCGGAUUUUCAUAAAUCAGUAGGUAGUUUUAAAGAUGAAUAUUUACCAUUUACUACAAAUCUAUGGUGACAAAACAUACAGUAGUUUAACAGUACUAACUAAAAAUG
Molecule: long non-coding RNA, 1307 nt
Filed under: Oryzias sinensis (Chinese medaka)
Lineage: Eukaryota; Metazoa; Chordata; Actinopteri; Beloniformes; Adrianichthyidae
Description: lncRNA (ENSOSIG00000015469.1)
Source: RNAcentral